Molecule: transfer RNA, 61 nt
Filed under: Dugesia japonica
Lineage: Eukaryota; Metazoa; Platyhelminthes; Tricladida; Dugesiidae
Description: tRNA-Cys
Source: RNAcentral
AUAUUAUAACAAUCAUAGUAUGUAUUACAGGUAUAAUAUUAUGUAAAAUACGGAUAAAGUA